UCAACGGUUUUUAUCAAAACCACACUCAAAUCAAAAUCAGUAGGAG
This is a non-coding RNA of Crinalium epipsammum PCC 9333, 46 nucleotides long. Lineage: Bacteria; Bacillati; Cyanobacteriota; Cyanophyceae; Gomontiellales; Gomontiellaceae. The record is from Rfam.